GCCAGACUCCUACGGGAGGCAGCAGUGGGGAAUAUUGGGCAAUGGGCGCAAGCCUGACCCAGCAACGCCGCGUGAAGGAAGAAGGCUUUCGGGUUGUAAACUUCUUUUCUCAGGGACGAAGAAAGUGACGGUACCUGAGGAAUAAGCCACGGCUAACUACGUGCCAGCAGCCGCGGCAAUACGUAGGUGGCAAGCGUUAUCCGGAUUUAUUGGGUGUAAAGGGCGUGUAGGCGGGAGCGCAAGUCAGAUGUGAAAACGCAGGUCUCAACCCUGAGCCUGCAUUUGAAACUGUGUUUCUUGAGUGUUGGAGAGGCAAUCGGAAUUCCGUGUGUAGCGGUGAAAUGCGUAGAUAUACGGAGGAACACCAGUGGCGAAGGCGGAUUGCUGGACAGUAACUGACGCUGAGGCGCGAAAGCGUGGGAGCAAACAGGAUUAGAUCCCCCUGUA
RNAcentral lists this ribosomal RNA (447 nucleotides) under uncultured bacterium. RNAcentral's name for it is "bacterial SSU rRNA". It matches the Rfam family "Bacterial small subunit ribosomal RNA", at positions 330 to 792 of the family's 1533-position model. The record is from RNAcentral.